This 328-nucleotide ribosomal RNA is filed under the name Deltaproteobacteria bacterium. RNAcentral describes it as "partial 23S ribosomal RNA". It matches the Rfam family "Bacterial large subunit ribosomal RNA", at positions 2606 to 2925 of the family's 2925-position model. The record is from RNAcentral. Lineage: Bacteria; Pseudomonadati; Myxococcota; Myxococcia.
UGGGUUCAGAACGUCGUGAGACAGUUCGGUCCCUAUCUUUCGUAGGCGUAGGAGAUUUGCGAGGCGCUGUCCCUAGUACGAGAGGACCGGGAUGGACAGACCUCUAGUGCACCAGUUGUCCUGCCAAGGGCAAAGGCUGGGUAGCUAGGUCUGGAUCAGAUAACCGCUGAAAGCAUCUAAGCGGGAAACUGACCUCAAGAUAAGAUCUCCCGUUCCGUAGCAAUACGGAACUAAGACUCGUUGUAGACUACAACGUUGAUAGGCGGAAGGUGUAAGUCCUGUAAGGGAUUCAGCCGAUCCGUACUAAUCGGUCGAGCGGCUUGACCAU